CCUACGGGAGGCAGCAGUGGGUAAUAUUGGACAAUGGGCGAAAGCCUGAUCCAGCCAUGCCGCGUGUGUGAAGAAGGCCUUCGGGUUGUAAAGCACUUUCAGUGGGGAAGAAAGCCUUGGGGCUAAUACCCUCGAGGAAGGACAUCACCCACAGAAGAAGCACCGGCUAACUCCGUGCCAGCAGCCGCGGUAAUACGGAGGGUGCGAGCGUUAAUCGGAAUUACUGGGCGUAAAGCGCGCGUAGGCGGUCUGAUAAGCCGGUUGUGAAAGCCCCGGGCUCAACCUGGGAACGGCAUCCGGAACUGUCAGGCUAGAGUGCAGGAGAGGAAGGUAGAAUUCCCGGUGUAGCGGUGAAAUGCGUAGAGAUCGGGAGGAAUACCAGUGGCGAAGGCGGCCUUCUGGACUGACACUGACGCUGAGGUGCGAAAGCGUGGGUAGCAAACAGGAUUAGAUACCCCUGUAGUC
This 465-nucleotide ribosomal RNA is filed under the name Vreelandella stevensii. RNAcentral describes it as "partial 16S ribosomal RNA". It matches the Rfam family "Bacterial small subunit ribosomal RNA", at positions 338 to 795 of the family's 1533-position model. The record is from RNAcentral. Lineage: Bacteria; Pseudomonadati; Pseudomonadota; Gammaproteobacteria; Oceanospirillales; Halomonadaceae.